This is a long non-coding RNA of Varroa destructor (honeybee mite), 899 nucleotides long. The record is from RefSeq and is a predicted model, not a curated record. Lineage: Eukaryota; Metazoa; Arthropoda; Arachnida; Mesostigmata; Varroidae.
CUAUUGGAGGCGAUACUUCUACGCACUGAAAAGACAACAGGAGCCGUCUGCGUAGCUACGGUUGGCCACUGUAUGAUUGCUAGAAGAGCUUCGAGGGUCGUUAAGACAGGGACCGUUUCAUAUACCGCUUUCAGUCGUAUCCGGAAAAUGCGCCAUUUGCUCCCGUCGAGAAACGCGUAUAUUCGCAAAGCGGAAAAAUUUGUUCCUAAUUUAUUCCAGUGAUCUACCCGACAGGCUGGAAGAACGUGUGAUACACUGAAAUAAGAAACAGCUACGCAAGCAUAGAGGUAGUUAUAGGGAUGGUUUGAUCCAGUCGUUCGCUGACGAUAUUCAGUGCUGUUGGUGGCCACCUACACAAGCAGGCUCUCACACGUGCAACGGAAGUGGCCUGGCGGACUAAUUCAGGCUGUACCGAUAGAUGUCCAUCGGACGCAAACAAAAAGAAAAGCUAUUCGCUUUACAUUUGGUAAGAGGCUUUGCCAGACGACGAUAAGGUUUUUGAGGGUUGGCUACGAACAUUCUUACCACAGAGUCUCUUUCCUGCUCUGUCUACGCGGCGACAUAAUGUCAAGAACCAGCUGUGGUUGAUAUCUGAGCUUUCCGCAAUAGCCAUCGGGUGGAGACGAGCGGUAAUAGCGCCUUGUAGACGUCAACGGAGGCCAGAGAGCAAAGUUACCAUGAGCGAUGAAUAAUAUUUGAAGUUUAGCGUCUAGGAGCUGGGUCUGGGCCGUGUCCUGUUCCCAAUCAAAUUGCUCAAUUUGAAAUAGUUUACGGUCAACGCUAACGAUAUGCUGGGCGAAAUAUCACAGUUGAGCCUUUCGGGUCAUAUGCUCUUCGUGAGGGUUAAAAUAUGGCGUGGUGUGUGCAUAUCAUCGGAUGCAUUAUGCUUUCCUUCAUAA